CUCUGGACCGACUCUAAAGAAAGGCAAAAGCCGAAUAUUUUAUGGAAUCCACAAGGACUUCCCGUGUGUGGCGGUGGUCGGGCUCGGUAAGCCCUGUGCAGGUGUGUGCGGGGCAGAAAACUGGGACGCCAGCAAGGAGAACAUCAGACAGGCAGUUUCGGCUGGCUGCCGGUUACUUCAGGACCUGGAGGUGAAGCAUGUGGACGUGGACGGCUGCGGUCAUGCCCAGUCAGCAGCAGAAGGCGCUGCUCUGGGUUUGUUCCAGUACGACCAACUUAAAUCCAAGAAGAAGACCAAAGUGACCACACAGCUUCAUGGGAGUGCGGACUCGGCUG
Plectropomus leopardus (leopard coralgrouper) is the source of this 335-nucleotide non-coding RNA. The record is from RefSeq and is a predicted model, not a curated record. Lineage: Eukaryota; Metazoa; Chordata; Actinopteri; Perciformes; Serranidae.